RNAcentral lists this ribosomal RNA (255 nucleotides) under uncultured bacterium. RNAcentral's name for it is "partial 16S ribosomal RNA". The record is from RNAcentral.
CUGCUGCCUCCCGUAGGAGUUUGGGCCGUGUCUCAGUCCCAAUGUGGCCGUUCACCCUCUCAGGCCGGCUACUGAUCGUCGCCUUGGUGGGCCGUUACCUCACCAACAAGCUAAUCAGACGCGGGUCCAUCUCAUACCACCGGAGUUUUUCACACAAGACCAUGCAGUCCCGUGCGCUUAUGCGGUAUUAGCAGUCAUUUCUAACUGUUAUCCCCCUGUAUGAGGCAGGUUACCCACGCGUUACUCACCCGUCCG